Molecule: small RNA, 132 nt
Filed under: Salmonella enterica
Lineage: Bacteria; Pseudomonadati; Pseudomonadota; Gammaproteobacteria; Enterobacterales; Enterobacteriaceae
Also listed under: 3 other names
Description: RtT sRNA
Rfam family: RtT RNA
About the family: This family represents a bacterial cis-regulatory element known as RtT RNA. The exact function of RtT is unknown although it is thought that it may be involved in changing the cellular response in relation to amino acid starvation.
Source: RNAcentral
UAUUUCUCCGUACGGGGAAGGAUGAGAAGCUUCGACUAAGGUUCGAUUCGAGCGAAAGCGAGAAAGCGUUGCCAACGGCAACGACCCGAAGGGCGAAGCGCGCAGCGCUGAGUCAUCCUUCCCCCACCACCA